CCUACGGGUGGCUGCAGUGAGGAAUAUUGGUCAAUGGGCGCGAGCCUGAACCAGCCAAGUCGCGUGAGGGAAGACGGCCCUAUGGACUGUAAACCUCUUUUGCCGGGGAGCAAAAGACGCCACGCGUGGCGUUCCGAGAGUACCCGAAGAAAAAGCAUCGGCUAACUCCGGGCCAGCCGCCGCGGUAAUAGGGGGGAUGCGAGCGUUAUCCGGAUGUAUUGGGGUUAAAGGGUGCGCAGGCGGAAGAUCAAGUCAGCGGUAAAAUUGAGAGGCUCAACCUCUUAGAGCCGUUGAAACUGGUUUUCUUGAGUGAGUGAGAGGUAUGCGGAAUGCGUGGUGUAGCGGUGAAAUGCAUAGAUAUCACGCAGAACUCCGAUUGCGAAGGCAGCAUACCGGCGCUCAACUGACGCUCAUGCACGAAAGUGUGGGUAUCGAACAGGAUUAGAUACCCUUGUAGUC
Molecule: ribosomal RNA, 459 nt
Filed under: uncultured bacterium
Lineage: Bacteria
Description: partial 16S ribosomal RNA
Rfam family: Bacterial small subunit ribosomal RNA
Source: RNAcentral